AGUUUUACUGUAAUUUCUCGUCUUGCCAACAGACGGCGCAGUUCCGUCUAUUUUCAAUGCGCCGACGCUCACUGUGGCUUGGGUUGACAUAGAGGAAGUGAAACAUUUAUCCCUGGGAAUGACCACAAGGCGUGGGCUAAACAAGUCGCGUUUGUAACUGUUUCACCGCUUUUCAUUAACAGUUCGUAAACCGCUUUCAGUGAGCUGAAGAUGGACAUAUUUUAGCGAGUCCUAUGUGGAGGACAAGAGGGCAACAGCUGUCCGGCUAACGUUAACCCCGCUAGCAGGCAAUCUUUAUGAAUCAAGCCCUGCUAUUCAACAUCACUGAAACACGACAACAUAGAGAAACACACACCGACUGCAGCAUGAACGAUGAUGUGAUGUUAAAUGUACCGGUCAUCCGGCAGAUGUACCACUGGGAUUGUGGCUUGGCCUGUUCGAGAAUGGUUCUAGAGUAUUUACAUCCAGUGAGUGAGGAGGAAUUUCAGAGAGCAUGUUUGGACUUGGAGUUUACGGAGAGCGUGUGGACUAUUGACCUGGCUUAUCUCAUGUGUAAGCUGGGGGUCAGACACCGCUUCUGCACACAGACGCUCGGUGUGGACAAGGGCUUCAAGAACCAGUCUUUCUACAAAAAGCAUUUUGAUACUGAGGAGGACAGGGUGAAUGAACUAUUUCUGAAGGCUGAAAGCAAAGGAGUCCUGGUGAAAAAAUGCUCUGUUACGGUUCAGGAGAUCCAGAGCCACCUGGAGCAGGGUCAUGUGGCCAUCGUGCUGGUCAACGCAGUAGUGUUGGUGUGUGAGCUGUGUUCCACGCCUGUCAAAUACUGCUGUUUCCUCCCUGUGGGUCAGAAGUGCUUUUGCAGGAAGCCUGAUUACCAGGGCCACUUUGUGGUGGUGUGUGGAUUUAACCGUAAAACUGGCAGCAUCUUUUACAACAACCCUGCCUACUCGGACCGUAUGUAUUGUGACGUUUUGGCAUUAUUCUUAAAGACAGCACAAGCACAAUGUUAAUACAAAACAUUAAAAAAAAACACACACACAGGGUUUAAAUGGUUAAAUACAUAAUAAUAAUAUUAAUAAAUAUUAAUUCAAAUAUUUCAAUAAAAAUACUUGGAUACUUUAAGUAUCCAAAUAAAAUAUUUAUUUAUUUUUUUAAAAUUUCCAAAUACUUUUUUGAGACCACUUACAUCUUAGACCCAAUAGCCUUAUUUAUUAUAAUAAUGUUUAUUAUGGUUAUUUUUAAAUAAAUAGUUCAACCAAAAAUGAAAAUUUGCUAAAAACAUUUUCCAUGAUGUAGAUUGUUCGUUUCUUCAUCAGAAUAGAUUUGGAGAAGUUUAGCAUUACAUCACUUGCUUAUCAAUGGAUGAAUGGGUGCCGUCAGAAUGAGAGUCCAAACAGCUGAUAAAAACAUCACAAUAAUCCACGAGUAAUACUCUAGUCCACCAAUAAACAUCUUGAGAAGUAAAAAGCUGAGUGUUUUUGUAUGAAACAAAUCCAUUAAGGCAUUUUAACUUUAAACAGACUGGAGUCGUAUGGAUUACUGUGCUGUUUUUAUCAGCUGUUUAGACUCUUGUUCUGACGGCACCCAUUCACUUCAGAGGAUCCACUGAUAAGCAAGUGAUGUAAUGCUAAACUUCUCCAAAUCUGUUGAAGAAACAAACUCGUGUACGUCUCAGAUGGUCUAAGGGUGUGUGCUGCACAAGCUUUAGUAAUUUCGAGGAGGCCAGAAGAAGCUACGGAACUGACGAGGAUAUUCUGUUCAUCUACAAAGACGGCUGAGUCUUGACAGCUUCUGAACGAACGAACAAACAAACAUUCAAAACACCUUUUGCAUUCACUGUGGUUGGCUGGGUAGCAUUUUUGCCAACAGGAACCAGUGCUGCUGGCCAAUAGCAGGUAGUAUGUGUCACCUCUGGCUAUGGUCUUCAUUAAAGCUAUAGCAUCGCACAAAGCAUUACUAUGGUGCUACAUUGGCCACAGAAUGAAAUAUUCACACAGAAAGGAAAGGGAAAUGCUAUAUGUAACUCAUCAUUAUUGUGAUGUGGACUUGUAUAUUUUUUAUCUAUAGCACAUAUGAUUUACAUAGUCUCUGCCACUGUAAGAAGAGGAGUGUACAUAAUGUUUUUCCAUUCAUGUAAAGAUAGAGACUUUGUGUUUGUUCAAGGUAACCUUGCAAAAUCAUGGGGUUGUGUUGAUUUUUGAUUUUAUUAUUUUUCUCUUGGAAGCCACUUAAUUAAUACAAUGAAAGGUUUUAAUUAUUGUAAAAGAGAAAAGCUGUUUUUAAAAACUCAGGUAAGAUUUGAUAAAUCCAGCAUGUUAAAUUAUAUCCCACUGUCGGGGAAAAAAGUUUCAUAGGUGCAAUACGUGUAGAUUCACUUCUCCAGGGGUUUCCUCGAGAACAAAAUCACCUGGACGUCUGUCAUAACCUCAUGUAGAGUAGCAAGAGAGUGUUUGCUGCUUUGUGGGCGACUGAACUGCAAAACCUUGAUCAUAAAGUACAUUUUAAACUCGCUCAUAGCACUAGUACAGUAUUAGACCUGUUUCUGUGUAAUUUACUGUAUUACGUUGUUAAAUUCUCAUGAUUAUAUUGUGUUGGCGUAAUUCGUAGUACCUACACUUUAUUAAUUCCUCCGAGAGAGAACAGGAACACUAGGGUUAAGAGUUUUACCGUCAGGUGUUGUGCACCGUUUAAAAAGGUCUGAACACAGUGUUAUGAAUGCUUUGCUGUUUGCUAUCUUGUAAACACUACGCCUGCUCAGUGGUUCAAUUGUCGAUGGUUUUGACACAAUGGCUGGCAAAUGAAAUGCUUGCACUGUUAUUCCACCAGCCAUAAUUGUUAUUUAAUCUUUGAUCAUUCAGGUUAAAUGUUAAUUUGUUGUUGUUUUUUUUUUUCUUUGAUUUUUAA
This is an RNA transcript of Onychostoma macrolepis, 2904 nucleotides long. It is a transcript of the gene named guanylyl cyclase domain containing 1, with no coding region annotated. NCBI's taxonomy places the organism in Eukaryota, Metazoa, Chordata, Actinopteri, Cypriniformes, Cyprinidae. The transcript has 6 exons. The record is from RefSeq and is a predicted model, not a curated record.